GGGCGGGUAGCUCAGUGGUAGAGCAUUCGACUUUUAAUCGAAUGGCCGUGGGUUCGAUCCCCACCCCGCCUA
This 72-nucleotide transfer RNA is filed under the name Mesorhizobium alhagi CCNWXJ12-2. It matches the Rfam family "tRNA". From Rfam's summary of the family: Transfer RNA (tRNA) molecules are approximately 80 nucleotides in length. Their secondary structure includes four short double-helical elements and three loops (D, anti-codon, and T loops). Lineage: Bacteria; Pseudomonadati; Pseudomonadota; Alphaproteobacteria; Hyphomicrobiales; Phyllobacteriaceae. The record is from Rfam by way of RNAcentral.